AGGGGGAUAGCUAUGGGAAAAGUGUUAUAGUUACGUUAUAAUGAAGCCUGUUUAACUCGGGCUCUCCUUA
This 70-nucleotide transfer RNA is filed under the name Ophiocomina nigra. RNAcentral's name for it is "transfer RNA-Val". The record is from RNAcentral. Lineage: Eukaryota; Metazoa; Echinodermata; Ophiuroidea; Amphilepidida; Ophiocomidae.